This is a long non-coding RNA of Haliotis rubra (blacklip abalone), 261 nucleotides long. RefSeq lists it as uncharacterized. The transcript has 3 exons. The record is from RefSeq and is a predicted model, not a curated record. NCBI's taxonomy places the organism in Eukaryota, Metazoa, Mollusca, Gastropoda, Lepetellida, Haliotidae.
UGUUUGUCAGCAAGCGUGGAAAUACCGUCUUUCUACGAAAUAGGACCAGGGCUGACCAACUGAAGAGAAGAAGCCUGACUACUUAUGUUUUGCAAAGUGACAGAGAUUGGCAACAGUAACUCCAGAACAUUCACAACAUGGAGGAUGUAUAUGGUUGUCACAGUCAGCGGGGAAGUAUGGUGACAGCCUCCCUGUGUCUGAAGAGAGAGGAUGGUGACAAUCUCCCUGUGUUUGAAGAGAGAGGAUGGUGACAAUCUCCAU